AGGAAGUUAAAAACAAUAUUUUAUUUUUGACAUACAACAAAACCUAAAACAAUUAUAUAAAUAAUCUAAAAUCUUUAGUUACAAUUAGUUGACAUAUAUAUAUAUAUAUAUAUUAUAAUGGUUUAUAUUUAAUGCACGCACAAAAAAAAUUAAAAUUUUUGAUAAGGGAUCAAUUAUAUUAAUAACAUAAAAUAUAGUCAUAAUUGUUUUAAAAUUACUAUUUAAUUUCACAAUUUAAUUAAAAUUCGCAACAUAAAUUACUACACAUGUACAUUCAAAUUGCCUAAAUAUAAAAUUACGACAUUAAUCAUUUCUUUUCAAGGAUUUAUAGUACAAAAUAAAGUAAGUAUAAUAAGGUUGAUUUAAAAAAAAAAAAAAAAAAUAUAUAUAUACAAUAAUUAGCUAUGUUAAUACAAUAAUUUUGUUCAGAUAUUCAAUUUCAAAUAAAGUUAUAUUUUUUCAAAAGUGCAUAAGUACUUUAGAAAUCAUUUAAAAGACCAAAUAAUUUAAGUUAGAUUUUUAAUCCAUUAAUUUUUCUAAGUGUUGCAUUAUAUGCAUAUAAUAUACAGUUUGUAACCUAUUAUACAUAAAGAUAGAACUCAGAAGUUGUUGCAUUUGCAUAUUUUUUUGUGGGCAAUUCGAUUUAAUACUAAAUAAUUAAAAAAUUAAUUUAAGCACAUAAAAACAAAAAUAUAAAAUUUUAUGAGCAUAUUUCUUAAUUUUAUCAUUUUUGAGAGCAUAUAUUUUGAUUGAUGGUAAUACAAUAUUUCAAAAUUUGUUGGUAAAACAAAACAUAAUAUAUUAUUUUGAUAGUUUUCAUUAGAUAUAUUGUUUUAUGCUUUAAAAUUCUGUUCUUAUUAAUAAAUAUUAACCUACUUCACUAAUUUACUACUACAUAAUAUAUAGGAAUAAUAUAUAAAAAAAAAAGCUGCAAAUACAAUAAUGUUCUAUAGAUUUUUUUUGAAAUAAUCCAAUGACUACCAUUGAUUAUAUAAAUAGAUCUACAAGCCACCCAAUAUUAUUAAUACAAAUCAAAAUUUACUAAUAUCUAUUCGUGGUGGGAAAAAGUAAAAAUAUAUUUAAAAUCUGAGAUUUUGAAACUUUGGUUUUGCAUUUUUUUUGAUAUUUUUAUUCAAUUAAAAAACUAAUUAUAAUUAUACAUUUAUUUAGUAUAAAUAUAAUAUAGGAUUAAUAUUAUAUUAU
Non-coding RNA from Cinara cedri, 1203 nucleotides. Lineage: Eukaryota; Metazoa; Arthropoda; Insecta; Hemiptera; Aphididae. The record is from the annotation of a GenBank genome assembly.